Molecule: ribosomal RNA, 700 nt
Filed under: uncultured Thelephoraceae
Lineage: Eukaryota; Fungi; Basidiomycota; Agaricomycetes; Thelephorales; Thelephoraceae
Description: eukaryotic LSU rRNA
Rfam family: 5.8S ribosomal RNA (bases 265-419)
Source: RNAcentral
CUGGUCAUUUAGAGGAAGUAAAAGUCGUAACAAGGUUUCCGUAGGUGAACUGCGGAAGGAUCAUUACCGAAUUGUCGACACGAGUUGUUGCUGGUCCUCAAAUGGGGGCAUGUGCACGCUCUGUUUACAUCCACUCACACCUGUGCACCCUAUGUAGUUCUGUGGCUUGGGGGACUCUGUCCUCUGGCCGUGGUUCUAUGUCUUUACACACGCUCUGUAAUAAAGUCUCAUGGAAUGUUUGCCGCGUUUAACGCAAUACAAUACAACUUUCAGCAACGGAUCUCUUGGCUCUCGCAUCGAUGAAGAACGCAGCGAAAUGCGAUAAGUAAUGUGAAUUGCAGAAUUCAGUGAAUCAUCGAAUCUUUGAACGCACCUUGCGCCCUUUGGCUAUUCCGAAGGGCAUGCCUGUUUGAGUAUCAUGAACACCUCAACUCUCAUGGUUUGCCAUGAUGAGCUUGGACUUUGGGGGUCUUGCUGGCCUGUGGUCGGCUCCUCUCAAAUGAAUCAGCUUUCCAGUGUUUGGUGGCAUCACGGGUGUGAUAACUAUCUACGCUUGUGGUUUUCUGCCAGGUAACCUCCAGUGAUGGAGGUUCGCUGGGGCUUAUAAAAGUCUCUCCACAGUGAAGACAGCUUUGUGAACGUUUGAUCUCAAAUCAGGUAGGACUACCCGCUGAACUUAAGCAUAUCAAUAAGCGGAGGA